This is a long non-coding RNA of Mauremys reevesii (Reeves's turtle), 1182 nucleotides long. RefSeq lists it as uncharacterized. Lineage: Eukaryota; Metazoa; Chordata; Testudines; Geoemydidae. The transcript is spliced from 3 exons. The record is from RefSeq and is a predicted model, not a curated record.
AAUCAAUUUGUUCUAAAACCUCUUCUACUCACACAUCAGUGUGGGAAAAUAUUUCAACACUACAAUGGCUGCUGGAGAUAACUGCCAUGGCCUUAGCUCUUAAAACCUCAUAUGGCGCAUUCAUCUGCAAAUGAGGAACUGCCUAUUCCUGCCAUCAUCCUUCUAAGGAGAUUGGUUAUCAUUACGUUGAAUAAGAUUUUCAUAUUUGGGACGAUUUACUCUUCCAGCAUUUCAACACAUGGCACUGUGGAAAUGACGAGGAAGUGGUGGAUCAAGAAGCUGGCAGCCAGCCAGUUUCUCCUGCUGUAGAACACUGAUAGCUGCAAGAUAGGACUGUGGCUUUUGGUACAUUGCUGGAAGGUACCUUUUGAAUUUAACAGCUUUUUUUUUUAUAUACUGCUCAUUAGCGUUGUACUAGCUCAGCAUGUUUUCUGGAUUUUCCAGAGGGAGGAGAUUGUAUGUUGUUAUUACUGGUGUGUGUUUGCUGAGCUCUGUAUAUUUCAACUUUGAAAACUGAGCUUUUUUUUGGAUCAUUUUGCCUUAAUUUUAGCCACCUUAUGUCCACCUCCAAAAAUGAACAUGAACCCCCUGGGAAGCUGUUCCAGUACUUGUGUUCAUUGGAGCCUUUACUGAGGUCUGCCGCUGGUGCCCAGAUUGGAAGCAGCAAUCUAGUAUGGCUUCACUAUGGCAGCUAUUUAUGUCUCUCCUGUUCUCUGUUACAAUAUCCAGUGAGUUGUUUUGUUUUGAAUGGAAACAAACCUGGCACAUUUUUUUGUAAAUAAUCUUAGCAGCAAUUAUCUGACUGGAAAAUUAAAUGGAUACUUAUAAACCUUGCCUAAGUGGAAUCUAUGAUGGAAACCAUCCUGGAAAAUCUAUUGGCUGCUAGUCGUGUACAGACAAAAGUAGUGCUAGUAGAUUUAAGCCUCUUCAGAGAAACUUAAAUCUCACCUACAUUCAGCCAAGGCAGUAUGUGCUGCAGCUCCUGUAGAACACAAAAUAACCACCUGUUAAGAAAAGCUGAGAUACUAGUGCUAAAUGCUGAUAUAUCAGUGUUCUGGGUAGGACUGGUAGCAUAGAAUCUAUGGAGGAAAAGGAAAUGUAACUGAAACCUUAUUGGAAACAAAAUGCCAUCAAUCUCUGUCACCCAGCAAAGAUUUUCAAAUACCAGGUCCUUCUGCAGGU